AUUGAACGCUGGCGGCAGGCCUAACACAUGCAAGUCGAGCGGAUGAAGGGAGCUUGCUCCUGGAUUCAGCGGCGGACGGGUGAGUAAUGCCUAGGAAUCUGCCUGGUAGUGGGGGAUAACGUCCGGAAACGGGCGCUAAUACCGCAUACGUCCUGAGGGAGAAAGUGGGGGAUCUUCGGACCUCACGCUAUCAGAUGAGCCUAGGUCGGAUUAGCUAGUUGGUGGGGUGAAGGCCUACCAAGGCGACGAUCCGUAACUGGUCUGAGAGGAUGAUCAGUCACACUGGAACUGAGACACGGUCCAGACUCCUACGGGAGGCAGCAGUGGGGAAUAUUGGACAAUGGGCGAAAGCCUGAUCCAGCCAUGCCGCGUGUGUGAAGAAGGUCUUCGGAUUGUAAAGCACUUUAAGUUGGGAGGAAGGGCAGUAAGUUAAUACCUUGCUGUUUUGUCGUUACCAACAGAAUAAGCACCGGCUAACUUCGUG
Molecule: ribosomal RNA, 484 nt
Filed under: uncultured bacterium
Lineage: Bacteria
Description: partial 16S ribosomal RNA
Rfam family: Bacterial small subunit ribosomal RNA
Source: RNAcentral